Molecule: long non-coding RNA, 409 nt
Filed under: Phoenix dactylifera (date palm)
Lineage: Eukaryota; Viridiplantae; Streptophyta; Magnoliopsida; Arecales; Arecaceae
Description: long non-coding RNA (PDAC_LNC018108)
Source: RNAcentral
AGCUAAGCAAGUUCUAAACAAUCACUUAUAAAUCUAUAGGAAACAAAGCUAGAGAUAUUACACAAUCAAGUAUGAAUGUAAGGCAUGAAACACAAGAGAUAAGGCAUCACAAAUACAAAGAUGUAUAGUGGUUCGGUGCACCCCAGCACCUACAUCCACUCCCCAAGAUCUCUUGGGAAUUUCACUACAAUUCCUCAGAUUACAGCCGGUUGUUUUACAAGCUCACAACCUAACUUGUUUUCACGAGAUCACAACGAACUCGGUCGGUUUUCACAGGCUCACCGACUAGAACCAAUCCGACUGUUUUCACGGGCUCACAAUCCAACCCAGUUGGUUUUUUCCGGAUUACCAACUACAACCUACAACGUUGGUUUUCACUGGCUCACCAACAACCCUUAACCCCUUGAUU